CCUACGGGAGGCAGCAGUGGGGAAUAUUGCACAAUGGGGGAAACCCUGAUGCAGCAACGCCGCGUGAGUGAUGACGGCCUUCGGGUUGUAAAGCUCUGUCAGCAGGGAAGAAAAUGACGGUACCUGACCAAGAAGCCCCGGCUAACUACGUGCCAGCAGUCGCGGUAAUACGUAGGGGGCAAGCGUUAUCCGGAUUUACUGGGUGUAAAGGGAGCGUAGACGGCAGGGCAAGUCUGGAGUGAAAGGCGGGGGCUCAACCCCCGGACUGCUCUGGAAACUGCCAGGCUGGAGUGCAGGAGAGGUAAGUGGAAUUCCUAGUGUAGCGGUGAAAUGCGUAGAUAUUAGGAGGAACACCAGUGGCGAAGGCGGCUUACUGGACUGUAACUGACGUUGAGGCUCGAAAGCGUGGGGAGCAAACAGGAUUAGAUACCCCUGUAGUC
Molecule: ribosomal RNA, 440 nt
Filed under: uncultured bacterium
Lineage: Bacteria
Description: partial 16S ribosomal RNA
Rfam family: Bacterial small subunit ribosomal RNA
Source: RNAcentral